GUUGAACGCUGGCGGCAGGCCUAACACAUGCAAGUCGAGCGGAUGAAGGGAGCUUGUUCCUGGAUUCCGCGGCGGACGGGUGAGUAAUGCCUAGGAAUCUGCCUGGUAGUGGGGGAUAACGUCCGGAAACGGGCGCUAAUACCGCAUACGUCCAGAGGGUGAAAGUGGGGGAUCUUCGGACAUCACGCUAUCAGAUGAGCCUAGGUCGGAUUAGCUAGUUGGUGGGGUAAGGGCCUACCAAGGCGACGAUCCGUAACUGGUCUGAGAGGAUGAUCAGUCACACUGGAACUGAGACACGGUCCAGACUCCUACGGGAGGCAGCAGUGGGGAAUCUUGGACAAUGGGCGAAAGCCUGAUCCAGCCAUGCCGCGUGUGUGAUGAAGGUCUUCGGAUUGUAAAGCACUUUAAGUUGGGAGGAAGGGCAGUAAGUUAAUACCUUGCUGUUUUGACGGUACCAACAGAAUAAGCACCGGCUAACUUCGUG
RNAcentral lists this ribosomal RNA (484 nucleotides) under uncultured bacterium. RNAcentral's name for it is "partial 16S ribosomal RNA". It matches the Rfam family "Bacterial small subunit ribosomal RNA", at positions 28 to 507 of the family's 1533-position model. The record is from RNAcentral.